RNAcentral lists this ribosomal RNA (468 nucleotides) under uncultured bacterium. RNAcentral describes it as "partial 16S ribosomal RNA". It matches the Rfam family "Bacterial small subunit ribosomal RNA", at positions 28 to 507 of the family's 1533-position model. The record is from RNAcentral.
GACGAACGCUGGCGGCGUGCUUAACACAUGCAAGUCGAACGGAAAGGCCCUGCUUUUGUGGGGUGCUCGAGUGGCGAACGGGUGAGUAACACGUGAGUAACCUGCCCUUGACUUUGGGAUAACUUCAGGAAACUGGGGCUAAUACCGGAUAGGAGCUCCUGCUGCAUGGUGGGGGUUGGAAAGUUUCGGCGGUUGGGGAUGGACUCGCGGCUUAUCAGCUUGUUGGUGGGGUAGUGGCUUACCAAGGCUUUGACGGGUAGCCGGCCUGAGAGGGUGACCGGCCCCGUUGGGCCUGGGCUACGGCCCAGCCUCCUCCGGGAGGCAGCAGUGGGGAAUAUUGCACAAUGGGAGGAAGCAUGAUGCAGCAAAGCCGCGUGCGGGAUGACGGCCUUCGGGUUGUAAACCGCUUUCGCCUGUGACGAAGCGUGAGUGACGGUAAUGGGUAAAGAAGCACCGGCUAACUACGUG